Molecule: long non-coding RNA, 285 nt
Filed under: Vigna radiata
Lineage: Eukaryota; Viridiplantae; Streptophyta; Magnoliopsida; Fabales; Fabaceae
Description: long non-coding RNA (VRAD_LNC001130)
Source: RNAcentral
UCCAGCAUCAACUAGAGAACUUCUAGCAGCAUUUGGAGAGCAUCACGCGUCCACUUGGAGAAAUAAAGAUUGUGCAUCCUACUUGCAAUAUCCACAUCUCCACGGCCUAGGCAGCUUACACGUCCAACACGGUCUGAUCCUACAGCACAUGAUAAUUUGGAGAAGUGCGGCCCAGCUUGCUAAAAGAGCAACAUCCGUCCAGCAGCUUCAUUUCAUGCUGCAGCCUUUCAUCACGGUCACAGGUCCAGCAACUUGGCAGCGUCACACAGCAGCAUCCAGCUUCAC